UUACGACCAUAUCACAAUGAAACAGCGGUUCUCGUACGAUCACCGAAGUUAAGCAACGUCCAGGCUAGUUCGUAUCUAGACGGGCGACCCCUUGGAAAUACCAGCUGCUAU
Non-coding RNA from Acanthosepion pharaonis, 111 nucleotides. NCBI's taxonomy places the organism in Eukaryota, Metazoa, Mollusca, Cephalopoda, Sepiida, Sepiidae. The record is from the annotation of a GenBank genome assembly.